Molecule: long non-coding RNA, 591 nt
Organism: Hydra vulgaris (swiftwater hydra)
Lineage: Eukaryota; Metazoa; Cnidaria; Hydrozoa; Anthoathecata; Hydridae
Source: RefSeq, a predicted model, not a curated record
CUGAGUUACUUUUACAUCUAACCUCAAGGGGAGUUUUCAAUUCAAUCAAUUUUUUUAAAUCUCUACAAAUUCUUAGUAUGGUUAAAAAGACAUUCACUUUCAUUUACGAAUAAAAAGGCUUUCAAAUGAUAUAAAGUAUUUAUAAAACCACGCCUCAAACAUGCAGUGUGUUUUUGGACACUCUAUUUAAAAACUGAUAUAGCUUUGGUUAAAUCUAUUCAACGCAAAGCAACAAAAUGGGCUUUCAGACUUUGAGACAUCUUUAAUACUACAAAAGCGCCUAUGAUGCAAUAUAAUCCAUAUCUUUAAACUAACACAUUGUUUUGAUAAAGUUAAUGAUUAAGUUAACAACAACAACAACAACAAACUAAACGGAUUAUUUUUCAUUCUUAUGGUGUCUCAAGAAGACCUAUCCAGCUAGCACGCAUACAUUGGGCCAACGUCGGAACGACGUCGGAAGCGUUGGACAAUUUUAUAAAUACGUGCUAACGUCGUAACGACGUCGGGCCAACCUCGGAAUACAAAUGAUUUCAAAAUGCGUAUAGUGUGUUACAGGUUUUAAUGUUAAAAUAGUUUUCGGCCAUUUUUAAA